Molecule: ribosomal RNA, 512 nt
Filed under: uncultured bacterium
Lineage: Bacteria
Description: partial 16S ribosomal RNA
Rfam family: Bacterial small subunit ribosomal RNA
Source: RNAcentral
GAUGAGCGCUGGCGGCGUGCCUAAUACAUGCAAGUCGAACGAAACUUCUUUAUCACCGAGUGCUUGCACUCACCGAUAAAGAGUUGAGUGGCGAACGGGUGAGUAACACGUGGGCAACCUGCCCAAAAGAGGGAGAUAACACUUGGAAACAGGUGCUAAUACCGCAUAACCAUAGUUACCGCAUGGUAACUAUGUAAAAGGUGGCUAUACUACCGCUUUUGGAUGGGCCCGCGGCGCAUUAGCUAGUUGGUAGGGUAAAGGCUUACCAAGGCAAUGAUGCGUAGCCGAAUUGAGAGGUUGAUCGGCCACAUUGGGACUGAGACACGGCCCAAACUCCUACGGGAGGCAGCAGUAGGGAAUCUUCCACAAUGGGCGAAAGCCUGAUGGAGCAACGCCGCGUGGGUGAAGAAGGUCUUCGGAUCGUAAAACCCUGUAGUUAGAGAAGAAAGUGCGUGAGAGUAACUGUUCACGUUUCGACGGUAUCUAACCAGAAAGCCACUGCUAACUACGUG